RNAcentral lists this transfer RNA (85 nucleotides) under Candidatus Magasanikiibacteriota bacterium. Its description in RNAcentral is "Candidatus Magasanikbacteria bacterium tRNA-Ser". It matches the Rfam family "tRNA". From Rfam's summary of the family: Transfer RNA (tRNA) molecules are approximately 80 nucleotides in length. Their secondary structure includes four short double-helical elements and three loops (D, anti-codon, and T loops). The record is from RNAcentral. Lineage: Bacteria; Candidatus Magasanikiibacteriota. RNAcentral also lists the same sequence under 1 other name.
GGAGAGUUCGCAUAGUGGUCGAGUGCGCCGCCUUGGAAAGGCGGUAUAUCGAAAGGUAUCGGGAGUUCGAAUCUCCCACUCUCCG